GAGCACUGUUUGUAACCUGUUAACCUGGCUGUGGCUGACAGGUUCCAUUCCAGUGCAACAGUUAUAAAAUAAAAGAAAAUA
This 81-nucleotide small nucleolar RNA is filed under the name Microcebus murinus (gray mouse lemur). The record is from RNAcentral. Lineage: Eukaryota; Metazoa; Chordata; Mammalia; Primates; Cheirogaleidae.